This 396-nucleotide unclassified non-coding RNA is filed under the name Inonotus hispidus. RNAcentral's name for it is "partial internal transcribed spacer region". The stretch from base 1 to 46 matches the Rfam family "Eukaryotic small subunit ribosomal RNA", at positions 1786 to 1831 of the family's 1831-position model. Lineage: Eukaryota; Fungi; Basidiomycota; Agaricomycetes; Hymenochaetales; Hymenochaetaceae. The record is from RNAcentral.
AAGUCGUAACAAGGUUUCCGUAGGUGAACCUGCGGAAGGAUCAUUAUCGAGUUUUGAAACCGAAGGCCUGUGCUGGUGCGGAAACGCACAUGUGCACGGCUUUCGUGCUCUCAAAUCCACUCAAACCCCUGUGCACUUUUGAACGGUCGAAGCUAGUAGUUAGUAACCAACACUUUCGACUCGAUGACUUUUUAGUACUAUGAGUAUGACUAGUAGGAGGGCUUUGCGGGCCUUUCGAACGUUUGAAAGUAGGAAAACGUUAACGAGAAGAGAGGGUGAAGGCGAACGCUUUGACUAGUUUAUAUUAUUACAAACCCUUUUAUUGUUAUGUGAAUGUAAUGCUCCUUGUGGGCGAUAAUGUUAAUACAACUUUCAACAACGGAUCUCUAGGCUCUC